AACGCAACUUGCGCCUUUUACGAGGCAUGUUUGUUUGAGUGCCGUACUCCUCUGCAGCAAUGCGAUUUGACUUGCGUCUUUGUUGACCGAGUUUAAACAGAGCUAGAGGAUGGUCAGUUUGGACUAGUCCGAGUGCUAAGCAUUCUUGGGUCUAGGACGGAUUGGUCAUUAAUCUAUCUUUAUAUUUUGGCCUCAAAUCAAGCAAGACUACCCGCUGAACUUAA
RNAcentral lists this unclassified non-coding RNA (224 nucleotides) under uncultured fungus. RNAcentral describes it as "sequence contains ITS2". Lineage: Eukaryota; Fungi. The record is from RNAcentral.